Molecule: unclassified non-coding RNA, 334 nt
Filed under: soil metagenome
Description: partial contains 5.8S ribosomal RNA, internal transcribed spacer 2, and large subunit ribosomal RNA
Rfam family: 5.8S ribosomal RNA (bases 1-120)
Source: RNAcentral
GAUGAAGAACGCAGCGAAAUGCGAUAAGUAAUGUGAAUUGCAGAAUUCAGUGAAUCAUCGAAUCUUUGAACGCACAUUGCGCCCGCCAGUAUUCUGGCGGGCAUGCCUGUUCGAGCGUCAUUUGUACCUUCAAGCUUUGCUUGGUGUUGGGUGUUUGUCCUUUCUCUUGCAGAGGGACUCGCCUUAAAGUAAUUGGCAGCCAGUGUUUUGGUUUUGAAGCGCAGCACAAGUCGCGAUUCAAAGCUAUACGCCAGCUUCCACAAGCCUUUUUCACUUUUGACCUCGGAUCAGGUAGGGAUACCCGCUGAACUUAAGCAUAUCAAUAAGCGGAGGA